This 532-nucleotide ribosomal RNA is filed under the name uncultured bacterium. RNAcentral's name for it is "bacterial SSU rRNA". It matches the Rfam family "Bacterial small subunit ribosomal RNA", at positions 767 to 1306 of the family's 1533-position model. The record is from RNAcentral.
AGCAAAUAGAUACCCAGGUAGUCCACGCCGUAAACGAUGAAUACUAGGUGUAGGGGUUGUCAUGACCUCUGUGCCGCCGCUAACGCAUUAAGUAUUCCGCCUGGGGAGUACGGUCGCAAGAUUAAAACUCAAAGGAAUUGACGGGGGCCCGCACAAGCAGCGGAGUAUGUGGUUUAAUUCGAAGCAACGCGAAGAACCUUACCUAGACUUGACAUCUCCUGAAUUACUCUGUAAUGGAGGAAGCCACUUCGGUGGCAGGAAGACAGGUGGUGCAUGGUUGUCGUCAGCUCGUGUCGUGAGAUGUUGGGUUAAGUCCCGCAACGAGCGCAACCCUUAUUGUUAGUUGCUACCAUUUAGUUGAGCACUCUAGCGAGACUGCCCGGGUUAACCGGGAGGAAGGUGGGGAUGACGUCAAAUCAUCAUGCCCCUUAUGUCUAGGGCUACACACGUGCUACAAUGGUCGGUACAAUGAGAUGCAACCUCGCGAGAGUGAGCAAAACUAUAAAACCGAUCUCAGUUCGGAUUGUAGGCU